CCAGAGCUGAUGAAGUGAGCGAGUGAAGACCCUGUCGCUGCUGCCAAAGUACCACCGAGGACCCAGUAGGGAACCGGUUCUUAGGAUUUUGGGAGAUCAUCACUG
This is a non-coding RNA of Chelonoidis abingdonii (Abingdon island giant tortoise), 105 nucleotides long. The record is from RefSeq and is a predicted model, not a curated record. Lineage: Eukaryota; Metazoa; Chordata; Testudines; Testudinidae.